Thalassophryne amazonica is the source of this 492-nucleotide long non-coding RNA. RefSeq lists it as uncharacterized. The transcript is spliced from 4 exons. The record is from RefSeq and is a predicted model, not a curated record. NCBI's taxonomy places the organism in Eukaryota, Metazoa, Chordata, Actinopteri, Batrachoidiformes, Batrachoididae.
AGUCAUCAUUGAGAAGUCCUGGUUCAACAUGGUUCAUCCCUCUGAGGCUCACACAGUGCUCGUUACCCUGCCAGUUGUCUGGCUGAUUCGGCGCCCACGGCUGAAAAUCCUGAUGGACACAAAAAAAAUUCAGACCAGAUCCCAAAGUCCUGCUGUGUUUCUGGGCCAUCCAGGACCAAAGUUGGAAAAGGUAAUCGGGCUCCUGUCCACCCAGGACAUACAUUAAAUAUGUUACAUUGUAUGGAUUACCUGAUAAUCCAAUCCACAUGUCCGGAAUGUCUACCUGAUGGAAGUCUGGGAGUUUUCCGUUGACGAAGUACUGCUCUUCCUGACUGCACAAUGUGACACAUUAAUGCUCGGCUCCCAUGCUGGAGCACUUAUCCUGAGCUUCGUGCCACGUGGUUAGCAGGCCGGUGUUGCUGACCGUCCAGUAGCAGCUGCCAUUGAAGCCGUCCCAUCCAGGAGGGCAGAUGGCUAAAGGGGGAUCGGAUG